Long non-coding RNA from Dreissena polymorpha, 468 nucleotides. RefSeq lists it as uncharacterized. The record is from RefSeq and is a predicted model, not a curated record. The transcript is spliced from 2 exons. Lineage: Eukaryota; Metazoa; Mollusca; Bivalvia; Myida; Dreissenidae.
GGGUCAAUAAGUGCAUUUUCAAAGGGGCCACUUUGUCCGGACUCUAUUUCAAAUUGUAUUCAUCCGAUCUUCACCAAACUUGGUCAGCAGUUGCAUCUAGUUGAUAUAUAGGCCAAGUUCGAAUAUGGGUCAUGCCGGGUCAAAAACUAGGUCAUAGGGUCAAUUAGUGCAUUUUCAACGGCGCCACUUUGUCCGGACUCUAAUUCAAAUUGUAUUCAUCCGAAACUUUUAAACAACUUUUUAUCCUGCGUCAAAGUGGUAUGGGGGUAUAUUGCUUAUUUCCAAAACAAAUACAUCAAUCAUCAGUGUAUCAUCUCCAAUGGCACACGAAUCGGGCGUAUAUUGCUCCGUCAUGCGGCGCUCUUGUUUAAUAUUGAAGAUAGCAACUUGAUAUUUGGCAUGCAUGUGUAUCUCAUGGAGCUGCACGUUUUGAGUGGUGAAAGGUCAAGGUCAUCCUUCAAGGUCAAA